This 548-nucleotide ribosomal RNA is filed under the name uncultured fungus. RNAcentral describes it as "SSU rRNA". It matches the Rfam family "Eukaryotic small subunit ribosomal RNA", at positions 548 to 1098 of the family's 1831-position model. The record is from RNAcentral. Lineage: Eukaryota; Fungi.
UUGGAGGGCAAGUCUGGUGCCAGCAGCCGCGGUAAUUCCAGCUCCAAUAGCGUAUAUUAAAGUUGUUGUGGUUAAAAAGCUCGUAGUUGAACCUUGGGCCUGGCUGGCCGGUCCGCCUCACCGCGUGUACUGGUCCGGCCGGGCCUUUCCCUCUGUGGAACCCCAUGCCCUUCACUGGGUGUGGCGGGGAAACAGGACUUUUACUGUGAAAAAAUUAGAGUGCUCCAGGCAGGCCUAUGCUCGAAUACAUUAGCAUGGAAUAAUAGAAUAGGACGUGUGGUUCUAUUUUGUUGGUUUCUAGGACCGCCGUAAUGAUUAAUAGGGACAGUCGGGGGCAUCAGUAUUCAAUUGUCAGAGGUGAAAUUCUUGGAUUUAUUGAAGACUAACUACUGCGAAAGCAUUUGCCAAGGAUGUUUUCAUUAAUCAAGAACGAAAGUUAGGGGAUCGAAGACGAUCAGAUACCGUCGUAGUCUUAACCAUAAACUAUGCCGACUAGGGAUCGGAUGAUGUUAAUUUUUUAAUGACUCAUUCGGCGCCUUACGGGAAAC